RNAcentral lists this ribosomal RNA (112 nucleotides) under Bacteroidota bacterium. Lineage: Bacteria; Pseudomonadati; Bacteroidota. The record is from RNAcentral.
UACGGUGAUUAUUGCGUAGGUGUCCACCUUUUCCCAUUCCGAACAGAGAAGUUAAGCCCUACAGCGCCAAUGGUACUGCGGUAACACGUGGGAGAGUAGGUCGUUGCCGUGU